Molecule: transfer RNA, 72 nt
Filed under: Schistosoma mansoni
Lineage: Eukaryota; Metazoa; Platyhelminthes; Trematoda; Strigeidida; Schistosomatidae
Source: RNAcentral
ACUCAGUAGCUAAGUGGAUAACGCGAUGGCGUUUGGAGCGAUCAGUACUGGGUUCGAGUCCCAGAAAGAACA